RNAcentral lists this ribosomal RNA (503 nucleotides) under uncultured bacterium. RNAcentral describes it as "bacterial SSU rRNA". It matches the Rfam family "Bacterial small subunit ribosomal RNA", at positions 28 to 525 of the family's 1533-position model. The record is from RNAcentral.
GAUGAACGCUAGCGGCAGGCUUAAUACAUGCAAGUCGAACGGGAUUCGGGGUAGCAAUACUUUGAUGAGAGUGGCGCACGGGUGCGUAACGCGUAUGCAACCUACCUUUAACAGGUGAAUAGCCCCGAGAAAUCGGGAUUAAUACACCGUAACAUUGCGCUGUGGCAUCACAGUGCAAUUAAAGAUUUAUCGGUUAAAGAUGGGCAUGCGUGACAUUAGCUAGUUGGUGAGGUAACGGCUCACCAAGGCAACGAUGUCUAGGGGUCCUGAGAGGGUUAUCCCCCGACACUGGUACUGAGACACGGACCAGACUCCUACGGGAGGCAGCAGUAAGGAAUAUUGGUCAAUGGGCGCAAGCCUGAACCAGCCGUGCCGCGUGCAGGAAGACGGCCCUAUGGGUUGUAAACUGCUUUUGUCAGGGAAUAAACCUGUCUACGUGUAGACAGCUGAAGGUACCUGAAGAAUAAGCAUCGGCUAACUCCGUGCCAGCAGCCGCGGUAAUC